Molecule: transfer RNA, 77 nt
Filed under: compost metagenome
Description: tRNA-Arg
Source: RNAcentral
UGACGUUUAUUUCAGCGGCCCUGGAGGCAUGUCGUUUCGGCCGUCAUAGCGCUUAACUUCGAGCGUGAAGACGUCGA